RNAcentral lists this ribosomal RNA (327 nucleotides) under uncultured eukaryote. RNAcentral's name for it is "partial 18S ribosomal RNA". It matches the Rfam family "Eukaryotic small subunit ribosomal RNA", at positions 1470 to 1796 of the family's 1831-position model. The record is from RNAcentral.
CCCUUAGAUGUUCUGGGCCGCACGCGCGCUACACUGACGAAUGCAACGAGCUUAUAACCUUGGCCGAAAGGUCUGGGUAAUCUCCAAAUUUCGUCGUGAUGGGGAUAGAUUAUUGCAAUUAUUAAUCUUCAACGAGGAAUGCCUAGUAAGCGUGAUUCAUCAAAUCGCGUUGAUUACGUCCCUGCCCUUUGUACACACCGCCCGUCGCUCCUACCGAUUGAGUGUGUUGGUGAGGAGUUUGGAUUGGCCUCGGAAGGUGGUUCGCCACCGUCCGUAGCUGAGAAGUUCUCCAAACCGCCCCACUUAGAGGAAGGAGAAGUCGUANCA